UCAUAUUUAUCUCAAAAUAGUCUCUCAAGGUUUUUUGGGCCUUCUUUAGCACUUCUACAUCUCUAAAUAAGGUGUCAUUCAUCCUCCAUCUAAAGGAGCCAGUUGGUAUUAGUUUCAUUUCCAUCUUGACAGCAUUAUGGUCGGAGCAAGUUUUCGGGCAGAUUUCCGCUUUUCUUGUCUUUGGUGCCAUUCCUCUAGUUACCCAUAUUUGGUCAAUUCUAGUCCAUGUCAUUUUGGCUUCAGAAAAGAAGGUUCCCUCUUUAGCCAUGGGGUUUCUUGUUCUCCAAAUAUCAACUAGAUCCAAGUUGUCUGUCAUCUCAAAGAAGGUUUUCGGUAGUCUACCAUCCUUGGUGACUACCUGUCUUUGUGCCUUGUCCAUAUGUGUAGAUACCACUCCAUUCAUGUCUCCCAUCAAAAUCAUGUUAUAAUCCAAAUAGUCCAUCAGAGUCUCAUGCAACUUCUUAAAAAAGUCAGAUUUCCCCUCAUUUGGUGCAUAAAUCCCUACUAUCAAGAAUUUUUCUCCUUGUGUCUGAAUUUCAAUUGCCACAAAUCUUCCUUGGUCAUCUUUAAAAAUAAAUUUCGGUAAUAGUCUGUCCUUUGCAUAAAUCACAACUCCUCUUUUUUUUACUUUAUCCGAUGAGAUAAACUCCUGACCAAGUCUUUUAUUUAUCAAUAAUUUCCUGUGUAACCUUGUUAUAUGUGUUUCUUGUAGGCAAAUCAAGUCCAAUUGUUCCUUUUUUAAUAAAUGAAACACAGAUUUCCUUUUCUGGGGAGAGUUCAAACCAUUACAAUUCCAACUUAAUAGUUGCAGGGCCAUGAUGUAAUUAUUUUGCUUCUCCUCCAACAGCACCCAGUGCCUGUUCCUGUUCCGUCGGUGGUAUCACGUUUCUCAGGCGGUCUUUUAGUUCCAGAGAUAGUCCUGGUGUGUCUAAAGUUUCACUUACAAUUGCUCUUAACUCUCCUGUAACUUUCUUCUAUAGGUCUUCUCCGUGGUCUCUCCAAAAUUUGUCUUUGUCGUCUUCUGAUCUUAUUUUUAUCUUCUUUCCUUUGUAGCUAAAGGAUAGGCCUUGAGGAAAUUCCCACCUAAAGAUGAUUCCGUUGCUUCUCAGCAGGGUGACCAAGUCUUUGUAAUUAAACCUGAGAUCCAGAAGAUGUUUCGGAAUAUCCUUGAAUAUCUCCACUUUUGACUGUUGUAUUUCCAAAGUCUUCUGGAAAUGCAGACUCAGAAUCUUGUCUCUCUCUUCUUUUGUUCGGAGGGUGAUCAAACAGUCUCUCACCCUGUUCUUUCUCCCUCCUUUUCCAAGUCUAAAAGCACUCACUAUCUUAAAACUAUCUUUCCCCAAAUCUGGGUUCCAAAAAUCUAGAAAUUCCUGCGUGAGAAAUUCAACCAAAUUGUCUUUCUCCACUUCAGGUACAGCCCUGACCCUUAAGUUCACUUGUUUCUCCUUCAACUCGAUCAUAGACAGAAUUGACUUAUGGUCUUCAAGUUGUUUAUGUAGCGGUGGUAUCUUCCCUUGAACCACUGUAGCAGUAGCUGUAGCAAUUUCCCUAGCCUCUUCGGCAGUCUUACGUGUCGAAGCAGAUUCCUGUAAUAAUUUCUGAAUAGUUUCUGUAUUAGUAUUUACUUUCUGUCCCAAAUUAGUGAUACUUGCCGUAUUUUGGUUAAUACUUGUCGUAUUUUGAUCAAUCUUAUCCGAUGCCUUGGCUACUUGUUUACUAAUUCUAUCCAAAGAUUCAUUAAUUUUAGCUAGUGCCUGAGCCAGGGCAUCGUCACUUGCCAUACCUUUAGUUUUAGGUUGUGCCGAUGAGGUUGCUGUUGGAACUCCGGGGGGGCCAGAUGUCGAAGCCCUCCUUUGUAAUCCACCGUCUGUGCGAAAUACUCUGCCAGACCUUGUUGCUUGUAACAAAUCUAUCUUCUCUUUCCCAUCUGCCAUAACCCUCAAGAUAAAACUCAAGGUCAGUCACACAGUCAGAGUCAAAGUUGUUUUGAAAUGGAAAGUUCCGAGAAAAAUGUUGUGGGAGAUUUCCUCAGGCCAGCUGCAGUUGUAACUAGUUCCAAAUUCCACUAGGGGGACACUGUAACAGUCAUAAAGUUCUUAAAGUAAUUUACUUCUCCCUGUAGUCCCCCAAUUCACCAGAAAGACAACAAUCUAUCUCAGGCUGUUACUUUAAAACCAGGAGAUACCUAUCAGCAAUAUUGUAACCAAGUUGUAUUUCAGAUGCAGAGCUAGCUGUCAAAAUACGUUCAAAGACAGUGCAUUCUCUAGUAAGCUUCUUACUGACACUGGGAACCCGUUCCGGGCGUUUUGAGCGGUGGUUUUUGUCUCCUCUUCCUCUCUUUUUCUUAGGGAAACAACGUUCAAAGCUUCUUCCCCUCCUCCCCCAAAUUGAAGGGGGGAAAUCCCAGUUUGAUGAUCGGAUUGUAAUCCUUUUGCGCGUCUUUUAAAGCUUCCGCUUUCAAGUUCAAUGCUUUGUUCUACAGUGGUGCCCCGCAAGACGAACGCCUCGCAAGACGAAAAACUCGCAAGACGAAAGGUUUUUUCGUUUUCGAGUUGCUUCGCAAGACGAAUGUCCCUAUGGGCUUGCUUUGCAAGACAAAAACGUCUUGCAAGUUUGUUUCCUUUUUCGUAAAACCGUUAAAACCCAGGGUGCAUUGCUGGAAGAGGUGCAGUUGCGACUUGACCUUGAGGAGCAACACAUUGCACGCGGUGUGGUGGCCUUUCUGAGCUUUUUAAAGAGUUUGCUGGAUUUUUGAAGCUUUUCCAAAACUUCUUCUGCAGCUGUUUGGUAAGUUAAACUUUUGAAACUUUUUUUGGGUUUUUUGGAUUUUGGGUUGGGGUGUUUAGAAUUCAAGGACUUGGUGUUGGGGAGGGGUUUGCAAGAAUCUGGGAGCUUGUGUGUCUUUUUUCUGCAUUUUUAUGAUUUUCUGUGACCAUUGGGCCAUGUUUAUUUUUUUUAAAAAAAAAAUCUGGGUUUUGAAUUUCUGAAUUUCUGUGUGCUGGGUGGAUGGGGGAACAGCUGGGGAGGGGUUUGCAAGAAUCUGGGAGCUUGUGUGGUUUUUUUUGAAUUUUUAUGGUUUUCUGUGACCAUUGGGCCAUGUUUUUUUUUUUUUGAAAAAAAUUUCUGGGUUUUGAAUUUCUGUGUGCUGGGUGGAUGGGGGAACAGCUGGGGAGGGGUUUGCAGGAAUCUGGGAGCUUGUGUGGUUUUUUUUUGAAUUUUUAUGGUUUUAUGUGACCAUUGGGCCAUGUUGUUUUUUUUUAAAAAAUUUCUGGGUUUUGAAUUUUGAAUUUCUGUGUGCUGGGUGGCUGGGGAACACUUGAGGAGGGGUUUGCAACAGUUGGGGAGGGUUUGCAACAGUUGGGGAGGGGCUGGGGAACAGUUGAGUUUUUGAAGACUUUGGUGAUUUUUAAAGCUUUCCCAAAACAUCUUUUGCAGCCAUUUAAGGAUUUUGAAGACUUUGGUGAUUUGCAGCCAUUUCGUAAGUUAAACUUUUAAAACUUUUUGGGGGUUUUUGGAUUUUGGGUUGGGUGUUUGGAAUUCAAGGACUUGGUUCUGGGUUUGAAUUGCUGAUUUUUUUUCCUUUUUCUGAGUUUACAAAGGUAACAGCUGUGCUGCCAUGGGACCCAAGAAGACUGCUGCUGCUGCGGAGGCCGGUGAGAGGAAGAAGAAGAAGGUGACGCUGGAGAUGAAGAAGGAGAUCAUCCGGAAGCACGACGGUGGAAUGCGUGUGACGGACCUCGCCAGGGAGUACGGCAGGAACCCAUCGACCAUCGGGACCAUCCUGAAGAUGAGGGAGAAGAUCCUUGCGACUGAUGCAGCCAAGGGAGUCACCAGGAUCGUGAAGAACCGCCCAGCUGUUCUGGAGGAGGUCGAGAAGUUGCUGCUCAUCUGGUUAGAAGAGAAGCAGCGUGCAGGGGACACAGUGACUGAGGCCGUCAUUUGUGAGAAGGCCAAGGCCUUGCACGCAGACCUCAUCCGGGAACAGCCAGGAACCUCGGCCGAGCCAGAAGUCUUCAAGGCAAGCAGAGGCUGGUUUGACCGGUUCAAGGCAAGAUCCGGAAUCCACAGCGUGGUCAGGCAUGGAGAGGCUGCCAGUUCUGAUGUUCCUGCGGCUGAAGACUUUGCCUUGGAGUUCCUGGAGGUUGUGAAGACGGAGGGCUACGUUCCACAGCAGGUCUUCAACUGCGACGAGACCGGGCUGUUUUGGAAGAGGAUGCCCAAAAGGACUUUCCUCACACAGGAGGAGGCCAAGUUGCCUGGCCAUAAGCCCAUGAAGGACCGUCUGACCCUGCUCUUCUGUGCCAACGCAAGCGGCGACCUGAAGAUCAAGCCCCUGCUGGUGUACCACUCGGAGAACCCACGGGCCUUCAAGAAACACAAGGUCGACAAGGAGC
Podarcis lilfordi (Lilford's wall lizard) is the source of this 4394-nucleotide non-coding RNA. Lineage: Eukaryota; Metazoa; Chordata; Lepidosauria; Squamata; Lacertidae. The record is from the annotation of a GenBank genome assembly.